GAUGAACGCUGGCGGCGUGCUUAACACAUGCAAGUCGAACGAAGCACUUUAUUUGAUUUCCUUCGGGACUGAUUAUUUUGUGACUGAGUGGCGGACGGGUGAGUAACGCGUGGGUAACCUGCCUUGUACAGGGGGAUAACAGUUGGAAACGGCUGCUAAUACCGCAUAAGCGCACAGCAUCGCAUGAUGCAGUGUGAAAAACUCCGGUGGUAUAAGAUGGACCCGCGUUGGAUUAGCUAGUUGGUGAGAUAACGGCCCACCAAGGCGACGAUCCAUAGCCGACCUGAUAGGGUGACCGGCCACAUUGGGACUGAGACACGGCCCAAACUCCUACGGGAGGCAGCAGUGGGGAAUAUUGCACAAUGGGCGAAAGCCUGAUGCAGCGACGCCGCGUGAGCGAAGAAGUAUUUCGGUAUGUAAAGCUCUAUCAGCAGGGAAGAUAAUGACGUUACCUGACUAAGAAGCACCGGCUAAAUACGUG
Molecule: ribosomal RNA, 481 nt
Filed under: uncultured bacterium
Lineage: Bacteria
Description: partial 16S ribosomal RNA
Rfam family: Bacterial small subunit ribosomal RNA
Source: RNAcentral